AGUGAACGCUGGCGGUAGGCCUAACACAUGCAAGUCGAACGGCAGCACAGUAAGAGCUUGCUCUUACGGGUGGCGAGUGGCGGACGGGUGGGGAAUACAUCGGAAUCUACUUUUUCGUGGGGGAUAACGUAGGGAAACUUACGCUAAUACCGCAUACGACCUACGGGUGAAAGCAGGGGAUCUUCGGACCUUGCGCGAUUGAAUGAGCCGAUGUCGGAUUAGCUAGUUGGCGGGGUAAAGGCCCACCAAGGCGACGAUCCGUAGCUGGGCUGAGAGGAUGAUCAGCCACACUGGAACUGAGACACGGUCCAGACUCCUACGGGAGGCAGCAGUGGGGAAUAUUGGACAAAGGGCGCAAGCCUGAUCCAGCCAUACCGCGUGGGUGAAGAAGGCCUUCGGGUUGUAAAGCCCUUUUGUUGGGAAAGAAAAGCAGCAGGUUAAUACCCCGCUGUUCUGACGGUACCCAAAGAAUAAGCACCGGCUAACUUCGUG
This 492-nucleotide ribosomal RNA is filed under the name uncultured bacterium. RNAcentral describes it as "partial 16S ribosomal RNA". It matches the Rfam family "Bacterial small subunit ribosomal RNA", at positions 29 to 507 of the family's 1533-position model. The record is from RNAcentral.